This 253-nucleotide ribosomal RNA is filed under the name uncultured bacterium. Its description in RNAcentral is "partial 16S ribosomal RNA". It matches the Rfam family "Bacterial small subunit ribosomal RNA", at positions 524 to 776 of the family's 1533-position model. The record is from RNAcentral.
UACAGAGGGUGCAAGCGUUGCUCGGAAUUAUUGGGCGUAAAGGGUAGGUAGGUGGUCUCAUUUGUCUGGGGUGAAAUCCUUGGGCUUAACUCAAGAAGUGCCCCAGAAACGGUGAGACUGGAGUCCUGGAGAGGGUCGUGGAAUUCCCGGUGUAGCGGUGAAAUGCGUAGAGAUCGGGAGGAACGCCAAUGGCGAAGGCAGGUCUCUGGGCCACUACUGACGCUGAGAAGCGAAAGCAUGGGGAGCGAACAGG